This 497-nucleotide ribosomal RNA is filed under the name uncultured bacterium. RNAcentral describes it as "partial 16S ribosomal RNA". It matches the Rfam family "Bacterial small subunit ribosomal RNA", at positions 28 to 507 of the family's 1533-position model. The record is from RNAcentral.
GAUGAACGCUGGCGGCGUGCCUAAUACAUGCAAGUCGAGCGAACAGACGAGGAGCUUGCUCCUCUGACGUUAGCGGCGGACGGGUGAGUAACACGUGGAUAACCUACCUAUAAGACUGGGAUAACUUCGGGAAACCGGAGCUACUACCGGAUAAUAUCUUAAACCGCAUGGUUCAAUAGUGAAAGACGGCUUUGCUGUCACUUAUAGAUGGAUCCGCGCCGCAUUAGCUAGUUGGUAAGGUAACGGCUUACCAAGGCAACGAUGCGUAGCCGACCUGAGAGGGUGAUCGGCCACCCUGGGACUGAGACACGGUCCAGACUCCUACGGGAGGCAGCAGUAGGGAAUCUUCCGCAAUGGGCGAAAGCCUGACGGAGCAACGCCGCGUGAGUGAUGAAGGUCUUCGGAUCGUAAAACUCUGUUAUUAGGGAAGAACAAAUGUGUAAUUAACUAUGCACGUCUUGACGGUACCUAAUCAGAAAGCCACGGCUAACUACGUG